UACGUAGGGUGCAAGCGUUAAUCGGAAUUACUGGGCGUAAAGCGUGCGCAGGCGGUUUUGUGAGACUGUCGUGAAAUCCCCGGGCUUAACCUGGGAAUGGCGAUGGUGACUGCAAGGCUAGAGUUUGGCAGAGGGGGGUAGAAUUCCACGUGUAGCAGUGAAAUGCGUAGAGAUGUGGAGGAACACCGAUGGCGAAGGCAGCCCCCUGGGUCAAAACUGACGCUCAUGCACGAAAGCGUGGGGAGCAAACAGG
RNAcentral lists this ribosomal RNA (253 nucleotides) under uncultured bacterium. RNAcentral describes it as "partial 16S ribosomal RNA". It matches the Rfam family "Bacterial small subunit ribosomal RNA", at positions 524 to 776 of the family's 1533-position model. The record is from RNAcentral.